AUCUUAACAGCAAAAAUAUCAAGAUACCAAACAGAAGAAUUCAAGGAUCGUAUAUAUACCUGUAUAGAUAAGAUGAAUCAGAGAUCAGAGUAUAUCACCAAGAUCAAUCAUUGCACUGAUACAUAUGCACUUUGAACUUGGAUGAAAAUUAUAACAUUUUUCAAGAAAAAAAGGUUAAGAUUUCCAAAUUAAAAGGACCACAAAACUUUCAUAUGUGUCUUUCAGUAGUUGACAUUAGAAGCAAAGGAUUCAUGUGGCAUCCACCUAAGGGACUGUGUGGGUUGUCUUGCAACCAAGAUAAAUAGUGCCACUGUACUUCAUAAUCACAGAUCUUUCCAUAUUAUUAGUAUUAUUUAUUCCUUUUCUCAUAAUACGCAAACGACGAAUAAAUAGAUACACUUUACUAUAAGGCUGCGUUCUCUUUGUGGGAAAAGGGUGGAAAACAGAUAAUUUCCCUCAUUUUCCAUCCUUUUCAUGUGUUCUCUUUGUUAGUAAAUUUUCCCCGGGCAGGAGGGAAAAUUUUCCCGGGCAGCCCUUUUAUCCCACAUUUUCAUCCCAAAUCAUGAUAAUAUUAUCAUGACCUAUAGGUAUGAUAAAAUUUUCCCAUGAUGUCUAUUUUCUUGAUCUUCCAAUUUUGCCCUUAACAAAUCUGCAAUUUGACAAUUUUGUCCUACCACAAAACCCCCAGAUUUCUCGCUUUUUCCAUCCCCAAAUCUAGCAUCCAUUUCUUUGGCGAUUCUCUCGACUCACCGCGAUUCUCUCAACUCACCAUGGAAGAUGUAGGAGAUCGCCGAUUUGUUUCAAGCAUCCAUUUCUGAGGUAGUGUGACCGGCGAUUCGCUCCUCCAUACUUGUCUAUUGCACUCAUUAUUCUGGUAUUUUCCGAAUUUGCGAUUUCGUUCGUGUGUUUGCUGGUUUGUGAUGAUAUUAGGGUUUCAAAAUUUCAGUUUCCUGAUUAUUUACGAAACAAUAGAUAAGAGGAAUCUGCUUCUUGCCAGCCAAAUUAACAAUCCAUAAAAGCUGUAGUAUUUGCGAUGUAUUAGAAAUUAAAUGGAGUUGUCUAUUUGGGGCAUUUGUGAAAGUAACUCCUGUAAUUAAGAGUGAGGUCAACUGUUUAAUCAAAAUAAUUAAUAAGAGUGAGCCAAUACUAGCAAUUAGAAGAAAUCUCAAUUUUGAUUGUGUUCGUCCCAAUAAGUGAAAGUGGAAAACAUGGCUCUGUUUUUGCUUCACUUCUUAUAAAAUUCGAAUUAAUAAGCUUUUUUGAGCUUAAGACCACAUUAUGUUUCUUACAUUUCCACAAAAUCAUAUUACCUCCAAUAAAAGACAGAGAAUAAUAACAGAGAAAUAUUCAUUUCGAGCUUACUUCAAUUUUUUCAUGUAGCUAAGAUAUGCCUAGUUGUGCAGAGUUUAAAAUCCAUUUUUAUUUGCGAUUGGUAAGAAGAAUUUAAGGGGAACUAGAACGUUCUACCAAUAUUGUUUUGCCCAAAGGAAACUAAAAUGCUUUAGCAAUAUUUCUUCUGUCAUUAUUUCCAUUAUAAUUAGUGUGGUUUGUAAAGAAAACGUAUUUGUGUGAAACUCACCACAUCUUAUGUUUGUUGGUUUCAAUAUUCUGCAUGCAUGAUUGGCGAUAUUUGACAAUAUAAGAUGAUAACUCAAUGAAUGCUAUCAACUUAGAUGGUAUACUUAUGUCCUCACUACUGCCACUCUUCAUGUCUGUUUAUUGGAUUAAAACUGUUUUGCUUUCUCUACGUUGCCAUGUUCUUCAGUGAGUUUUUGUACAUCCUUGAGUACUUUAGCUCCAUUUGACUCGUGACUAUCGGAGGGUAGUGGUCAUAGUUCAUAACUGCACAUGCUUUCAAUACAAUGUCAUGACCAAUGGUUCUUCAUUUGUUGAUUUUAGCUCAUCAGUAGUAAAGAUUCUUGCAUGGUUAGGCUGAAUGUUUCAGUUUUUCUGUGGCAGUGUGCAUCUGCAGUUGAUAAUUUGGCUGCUUUUUAUUUCAACAACAUCACCACGGGGGAGGCCCCUACAUCACCAGCCGCAGUUAAUCUUGCGAGGCAUAUUGCAGAGUGCCCAGCCCUGCUCCCUGAAGUAAGUUUUGGAUUAUUUUAAUUAGUCUAAGCUUUUGGUUUGGGUCGCUGUAACAUUUCCAAACCUAUUGUGAAUCCAGUGCAGUUGCUUAAGUAAAUACUUUCUCAUAGUGACUGUAAUCUCGAUAAUUCUGCCCUGAAGUUGGGUCUGGGAUGGGUGAUUUUCUAUUUGAGGAAAUUCAAAUUUUCUGUUUAAGCUUCUCAUUUCAUUUAGAAAAGGUUCUUCCUGUUACUUUUAAGUUUGCUGUCUCACCAAAGGUCUAUUAGUUCUGUAAAUGUCCAGCUCAUUAAGUUUUUGAUAUUAUGUACAUAUUUUCCUAUGUAUUGACCUUUUAUCAUACAUAAAUUGUAUUGUAUUGUGAAAUUGUGUGUUAGUAAUUAAUAUUGAAUUGUAUUAUAUUGUGAAAACAGCAAAGCACAUAUCAUGGACGAUAGAAGACACAAGACUUUGGUUAUUAUAGCCCUUCUCCUUAUACGCAGAUGCCUUCUUGUUCUUAUGAUGAUGGGUCACCAUUAUUAUAAAAACAUUUUACCUAGUAAAAGAGCUUCUGGUAGGCGGCGCUUAAAGUAUAAAAUUAUUGAUAAGAUCCCUAAACAAGUGGAGUAUUUGCAUCGAGUUAUAUCAGCUGAUGAUUUGACUUGUGUUAACAAAAUACGAAUGUCCAAAGAUGUCUUCAGUAGGUUAUGCUAUCUUUUAGAACAAGCUGGAGGUCUAGUUCCAACCAAACAUGUAGGGGUUGAGGAGAAAGUUGCAUCUUUUUUGGUAAUCUUAGCACACCACAGUAAGAACCGCAUUGUAAAGUUCGAUUUUAGACGCUCGGGAAACACCAUAAGUCUUAGUUUCCAUUCAGUAUUACAUGCUUUAUUGCGUCUCCAUCAUCUCUUGUUAGUAAACCCAGUGCCCGUGCCCGAAGAUGAAACAAGUGAACAAUGGAGGCCUUUUAAGGUACUUAUACUAAUGUAAUUUAAACAAUUAUUUUACUAAUUCUGCCCAUAAUAGUACAUGCUAAUUAUAUAGAAUUUUUAGGGAUGCUUAGGUGCUUUAGAUGGUACGUACAUACCAGUUACAGUACCACUUUCUGAUGCCCCUCGUUAUAGAAAUAGAAAAGGAUUCGUAUCUGUAAAUGUCUUGGGAGUUUGUGAUCGUGAUUUGAAGUUUGUCCACAUGCUAAGUGGAUGGGAAGGAUCUGCAUCCGAUGCCCGUAUCCUCCGUGAUGCAAUCACAAAGCAAUUUGGCUUAAAAGUGCCUCAAGGUUGUAUAUUGAUAAACUUCAUUUUGGUUGUACUCUAGUCAAAAGUUAAUAUUCAUAAUAUUAUGUUUAUGUAGGUAACUAUUACUUGGUUGAUGGAGGAUACGCUAAUAGUAACGGGUUCCUUGCUCCUUAUAGAAGUAUACGCUAUCACUUGAAAGAGUGGGAAUCUGGACACCUUGCCCCUCAAAAUUACAAAGAAUACUUCAACAUGAAACACUCUAAAGCAAGAAAUAUUGUGGAGAGAGCAUUUGGUUUGCUAAAAAAAAGAUGGGCCAUACUACGUUCUCCAUCCUUCUAUCCAAUCAAAACACAAAACCAAAUUAUAUUAGCUUGUGGGUUGCUUCACAAUUUCAUUCGCACCCACAUGACUAUUGAUCCAAUUGAAGAAGAUGUGGAAGUAGAGAAUGAAGAAGGAUCCACGGAAUUUAUUGACAACAUAGCAUCCACUACAACAUGGAAUGAGUGGAGAGAUGAACUUGCGACCACAAUGUAUGAGGAUUGGAUGGGAAAUCGAAGAUAGUUAUUGUAGACUACUCAUAUUUUGGAUAUGUAAAACUUUUGGAUAUGUUAUUAUGACUAUAUUUGCUUAGUAAACAGAUUUCAGUUGCUGCUCCAUAUUUAUUCCAUUGUAAUUCCUAUAUAUAUUAAUAUUAUAUGUGAUUCUACCUCUUGGACCUUGAUUCUCUCUGCAGUUUUGGGAGAACUUCUUAUUUGUUGUAUCCAGAUAUUCAUUGAGUCAUUAUAUACCACUAAGGCCAAUAGUCAUACUAGUAUGUUGUAUAUUUGUAUAGUUUACAGUGCUACGGUAUGUUUGCUUGUAGAGACUUUAUUAUUUGCAUAAAGAUGGUUGUAUCAUAUGGGGUACACCAAAUAGCUUGAUAGUUCUUGUAUGUAUCUUACUUUCUAAAGGUUUUGUUUCUUAAGGCUUGCUAUUCUAUUUUUAUCUGCCAUGAAAUUCAAGAUUUGCAUCUAUGCAGGGGAAAAAGCACCUUAGAAAAUUGCCAAGUGUUGCAGGUAAUAUCUGCCUUCUUCAUAAACUUCAUGCUGACUGUUGGGAGAUCUUCUUUAUUGUUGGGAGAACUUAUUAUUUGUUGUAUCCAGAUAUCCAGAAAGGAAAAAAGAUGGGCAAAACUAGAAGGUCUUGGAGCUCUGAAGAAAAAAUAGCAUUAGUGGAUGCACUAAAGCUUAGCGUCAUCAAAGGUUGGCGAGGGGAAAAUGGAUUCAGAACUGGGCAUCAUCUUUUUCUUGAGGAUCAAAUGAAGGUGGCCAUUCCGGGAAUUACACUUGUUGCGGAACCCCACAUAAAAUCAAUGGUUCACGUGUGGAAGAGGCAAUAUAGUUUCUUGUCGGGACUUAUAUCAAAGAGUGGAAAUAGCUGGAACCCUAUUCAAAAAAAGGUUGAAUGCACAAAAGAAUCUUGGGAUGAAAUGUGCAAGGUAAUCAUUCUUUGAUCUUUGUCUUUCUCUUCAUGCCAUUUUCAUGCACUUUUUAGGAUAGUUGCAGUCCUUUGGGAUGAAAACUUGAGGUUAUUUGGAAUGCAAAAUGACUUUAAAUAGCUGGAAUCAUAGAGUUAUUUGGAAUGCAAAAUGACUUUAAAUAGCUGGAAUCAUAGAGCUCCUGCUCCUUAUCAGUCCAGUCCAGCAUGACUUUUACCUUACUAUGCAUUUUUGUUCAUCAAUGUUCUUUACUCUUAUCUAUGAAAUUUUUAUUGUAUCAAGGGCUAUACACCAAUGAGGAACAAGAUGGAUGACCCUUGGCCAUUUUAUGAAGAUUGGAUUGAAUAUUGGCAAAGAUAGGGCCACAGGUGAUAAUUCCAUCAACUUUGGUGAAGCUGCAAAUGGCGUUUUGAACAAUGUGAAUGAAGCUUUGAGCAAGGACAAUGUGAAUGAAGCUUUGAACCAGGACACUGUGAAUGAAGCUCUAAACAUCAAUGCAGAGAUUAGUGAGUUUAAUGAGACAGAUCUCAAUAAGGUAAAUGAAGACUUUCUACCAACAGGAGAUGAUUGUGAUACUGCAAGUGGAAGUGGCUCAAACCUUGUAAGAAAGAAGCGUAAAGCCGUGAGUUCAAUAUGUGAAGAUGCUUUUGUGGAAGUAGUCUCAAACUUUGUAAAAAAAACAGAUGAGACUCUUGUUCAAAUGGUUCAAAGUUUGGCCCCUGAAAAGGAUGACAAAACUGCACGUCAAUCUCUGUUUGAAGCGUUGGACAUGUUUCCCAUUCUAACUAUGAGUGCUAAGGUUGCAAUAGGGAGAAAACUUGCAAAAGACAAGGAAGAAUUGGAAUUCUUCCUUAGCCUCCCUCACGAAGCGCGGCUGGAAUUUGUCAUUCAAAUGAGUCGGGAGUUGUAAGUACUAUUGCAUUAGAAAUUUUAUUUUUGUGAAAGUUUUAUGCUUUUUGAAUGACUUGAACCGGGAGCUAAGAACUUGGUGUUUUUCAGCUUGAAAUUGUAAGUACUAUUUACAUAUUUUACAGCUUGUGAAAGUCUAUCUUGGAGGGAGAUAUGAAUUUCAGUUUAACACUAUUGUAUUGCCUCGAUCAUUUCUCACCAUAGUAUUAUUUUGUUUCUAAUUUUUUCAGUUUUGAUUUCCAGUUUUGUAAUGCAGAUGGGAUUUUAUGGGAAAUCUCAUGAUUUUGGUAUGAAUACAAAAAAUUAGAAUGCAGAUGGGCUUUUAUGGGAAAUCUCAUGAUUUUUAUGAUUUUGGUAUUUGAUAUGUAGAGCUUGUUUUAAAACUUGCCUAAUUAAUUCAUUACUUGCGUCAUUUUUUUUCUCAUGAACAUUUCGAUUAUUUGGUUUAUUUGUGACUUCCAUUAAAUUAAUUCAUGCAAUUUUAUAAUAUUUUAUUGUAGUUUUGUGAUUGUUGGGUAUUACAUUUGAAUGUCCAUAAAAAUAAUUAAAUAAGAACGUAAAAACCAAAAAAAAAAGAAAGAAAGAAAAAAAAUGAAUUUGUGAAUUAUAUCUACUUGUUGAUUUGUGAAACAAAAGCAUAAACAACAAUGCAAAUUGAAAGUUCCGUCUUUUUACUAAAAAAAACAAGCAAAUUGAAAAUAUUGAAUAAAAUAAUUAAGUAAAUAAUAAGGGUAAUAUAGUCAUUUAACAAUUUAUCCAUCAUUUUCCAACAAAGAAAACAUGUGUAUAGGAUAAAUGAAGUAUAGGAUAAAAAAAAAUUCCAUCAAAGAGAACAUGAGAUAACAAGAGUGGAAAUGAUAAAAUUUUCCAACCUUUUCAUUUCCUCCAUUUUCUCAUGAUAAUUUUACAACCAAAGAGAACGCACCCUAAGAAAACACUGUUACGUAUACCGUGGGAGGAAGUUCCAAUUUAUUACCUCCAUAGUGGCGCACAAAAUUUGAGAUAGCAAGCUUAUUAACAGACGAAGCGAGAAUCAAAACUAACCUCAACCGGCCUUCGAAGAGGGGAGGCGGCGACCGGAAAAAAGACUAAGAGGAGCGGUGAAGCGCGGCGGACCGGAGGCUCACAGCGGCGGCGAGGUUGUAUGCGAUGGGGCGGAAGGAUGGGUUUGAGUUAGUUGUGAGGAGAUAAUUGAUUGAGUUGGAGAAGAAUUAGAACUUUAAUUAAUUUUUAUUUAUAUUUAGAGUUUAGUUUAGUUAGUACAUAAGAUAAAGAUUUUGAUAUAUAUAAAUAUAAACGGAAUUAGAGUGAACUUCUUCCAUAGAUAAGUAUAU
RNAcentral lists this long non-coding RNA (7019 nucleotides) under Salvia miltiorrhiza (redroot sage). RNAcentral's name for it is "long non-coding RNA (SMIL_LNC005594)". The record is from RNAcentral. Lineage: Eukaryota; Viridiplantae; Streptophyta; Magnoliopsida; Lamiales; Lamiaceae.